ACACACUUUAGUGUUUACAAUUCAUUCCCUUUUGUCAUAGAUUUGGUGGGCACUGUCAUCUGUGAUAUGACUGUCUUUAAGCAGGUACUGAUGAAACUGUCACUUAAUAUUUUUUUUCUUGAAGUCUACAAACGCUCUACAUUUAUUCACUUUGUGAGGGUUGGAUCCUAUAUGCUACUUGUAUUAUUGUCCUGUAAAUGGUUCAGUGCCUAUAAUUUAGUCUGUGUAGAAUGGGGCAUAAAGGAAAUGACCUCUACUAAUAAAUGACUACUAGAUUACAGUGAAAACAGCAUACACAUUUGGGUUGUGUAUUCAUUUGCCUAUAACUAAUCAGACUUCCAUUAUGUUUACAUAAAAAAGAGAAUACUUCAAAAUGAGAAGAUCCUGCCAUGGAAAAGAUGACUGGGUGGACAUAAAGUGGAAAGGAGGGGAAAUAACUCCCACCAUGCAGCAGGACACCUUCAGCUGUGGGGUCUUUGUAAUAUGGCCAAGGAAGUUGCACAGAACUUCCCCAACAUCCCAAAUUGAUAUGGAACCUUCAAAAAACACAUGGAGCAACUGCAGAAAUAAAUGGCUGAGGAUAUACUAAAAAUGUCUGAGUUCAACAAAGCCUGCUUCAUGUGUGCCACUGAUGAAGAACCUGGAUGUGGCCCAGACUGACAGGAUUGAAUGUUUUGCCUGCCAACGGGGGUUCCAUGUGCUGUGCCUCGGAAUGAAGACCAAAGAGUUCACCAGAGUAAAGAACACAAACUGGAAGUGCAGUCUUUGUUGUUGAAAAUGUCUGCUCUACCCCAUCCACACUGAAGAGGCUCUGACAUGUACAUCAACCAGGGAUAAAGAGGAAGUUAACACUGACAUGUACAUCAACCAGGGAUAAAGAGGAAGUUAACACUGACAUGUACAUCAACCAGGGAUAAAGAGGAAGUUAACACUGACAUGUACAUCAACCAGGGAUAAAGAGGAAGUUAACACUGACAUGUACAUCAACCAGGGAUAAAGAGGAAGUUAACACUGACAUGUACAUCAACCAGGGAUAAAGAGGAAGUUAACACUGACAUGUACAUCAACCAGGGAUAAAGAGGAAGUUAACACUGACAUGUACAUCAACCAGGGAUAAAGAGAAAGUUAACACUGACAUGUACAUCAACCAGGGAUAAAGAGGAAGUUAACACUGACAUGUACAUCA
Molecule: long non-coding RNA, 1186 nt
Organism: Oncorhynchus nerka (sockeye salmon)
Lineage: Eukaryota; Metazoa; Chordata; Actinopteri; Salmoniformes; Salmonidae
Exons: 4
Source: RefSeq, a predicted model, not a curated record